UAGUCCACGCCGUAAACGAUGUCUACUAGCCGUUGGGGGACUUGAUCCUUUAGUGGCGCAGCUAACGCCUUAAGUAGACCGCCUGGGGAGUACGGCCGCAAGGCUAAAACUCAAAGAAAUUGACGGGGGCCCGCACAAGCGGUGGAGCAUGUGGUUUAAUUCGAUGCAACGCGAAGAACCUUACCUGGGCUUGACAUUCUUGUCGUAGUUUUGUGAAAGCAAAACGUCAGUUCGGCUGGACUUGAACAGGUGCUGCAUGGCUGUCGUCAGCUCGUGUCGUGAGAUGUUGGGUUAAGUCCCGCAACGAGCGCAACCCUUGUCUUUAGUUGCCAUCAUUUAGUUGGGCACUCUAGAGAAACUGCCGGUGACAAACCGGAGGAAGGUAAGGAUGACGUCAAGUCAGCAUGCCCCUUACGCUCUGGGCUACACACGUGCUACAAUGGUCGUGACAAAGAGUUGCUAGUCUGCGAAGGCAAGCCAAUCUCAUAAACGCGGCCUUAGUUCGGAUUGC
This 511-nucleotide ribosomal RNA is filed under the name uncultured bacterium. RNAcentral describes it as "bacterial SSU rRNA". It matches the Rfam family "Bacterial small subunit ribosomal RNA", at positions 791 to 1301 of the family's 1533-position model. The record is from RNAcentral.